CAGUCGCCGCGGUAAUACAGAGGGUGCGAGCGUUAAUCGGAUUUACUGGGCGUAAAGCGUGCGUAGGCGGCUAAUUGAGUCGGAUGUGAAAUCCCCGAGAUUAACUUGGGAAUUGCAUUCGAUACUGGUUAGCUAGAGUGUGGGAGAGGAUGGUAGAAUUCCAGGUGUAGCGGUGAAAUGCGUAGAGAUCUGGAGGAAUACCGAUGGCGAAGGCAGCCAUCUGGCCUAACACUGACGCUGAGGUACGAAAGCAUGGGGAGCAAACAGGAUUAGAUACCCCCGUAGUCCCUGUCUCUUAUAC
RNAcentral lists this ribosomal RNA (301 nucleotides) under uncultured bacterium. Its description in RNAcentral is "partial 16S ribosomal RNA". It matches the Rfam family "Bacterial small subunit ribosomal RNA", at positions 509 to 807 of the family's 1533-position model. The record is from RNAcentral.